GUAAACUCCUCUUAUCA
RNAcentral lists this transfer RNA (17 nucleotides) under Phrynocephalus guttatus melanurus. Its description in RNAcentral is "partial tRNA-Tyr". Lineage: Eukaryota; Metazoa; Chordata; Lepidosauria; Squamata; Agamidae. The record is from RNAcentral.